ACCAGCUCUAAGUGACUGUGACUCUUGAAGUUCCAGAGCAUCUUGCUUCUCUUCAUGGAAUCGUGGCUUAUCCUACACUAAAGCCAAGAUCUAGAAUCAUGCCUCCGAGUUCCAAGUGCCUCACCAUUGCAAGGGAUACCAUAAAGAAUUCAAUUACUGCUCUCUGGUGUGAAUCACCCAAGGAUUCCAAGUGAUUUGCCUAUUGAUUCUCUGCAUUUGGCAACAACCUCUCUGCUCUGUGGGAUGUGAUUUUAACUUCAAACCUUAUCACAGGGAAUCUACUAUUUUGUUUAAAAGACCCAUGAAUUCAUAAAAUUGGAUAAUACUGCCCUGGAACACACAAUCCCAGACCCCUUUCUGGCCAAAGGAAAAAAAAUUCGUCUCAGCUGUCCCCUCAGGAAUACAGCUGUGUCAUCGCAUACCGUGGCAUCCUAAUAUUUCAUACUAAGCUUUAAACCAAUUAGGAAUGACUACUGACUGUGCUGACUCAUGGGAAGAGAAGGGGAUAAUGUGUCCUUCAGACAGUUCAUAAUUUCCUCUGCUGAACAAAUGGUGAUUUGUGAGCAAAGUAAGACACGGACUGGGGUUGGAACUUCUUGGACCUCCCCAUCCUGGGGCCCAGAGCCCUUGAGACUCUACCAGCUAUCUUGGGAUAAGCCUAGGAAACUUCUGGACCAGUUGCUUCCCAAAGAUCCUGCUAACUGACACUUCCAAAUCUGCUUUGUCUGGAUAUGGAGCACACCCAGAGUAAUUCGUCUGCUUUAAUUUGUGAGCCCUGGGAACUGAGUCACUGGUAAAUUUUCUUUUGCCAUGGUGGCUGGCUCUCAAACUACUGGUGUACUUAGGGCAAGGGUAUGGAACACUAAGGCAUGCAUUUUGGAUUAACCACAUUUUAUGUUCCCAUCAUUCAUUUUUUUUCCUCUACUUCUGAGGCAUGUAACCGGGCAUUUGACACAAUUCUGAAAACCACCUGAACUCUCUUUUUUUGAGUAAGGUGGGUUAGGAAAUGAGCCAGUCAACACAUAAAACUAAAUAUUUUUUUAAAAAAUAUUUAUUUAUUUAUUUAUUUAUUUAUUUAUUUAUUUAUUUAAGAGGGGGGAAGCAU
Canis lupus familiaris (dog) is the source of this 1105-nucleotide long non-coding RNA. RefSeq lists it as uncharacterized. The record is from RefSeq and is a predicted model, not a curated record. The transcript has 4 exons. Lineage: Eukaryota; Metazoa; Chordata; Mammalia; Carnivora; Canidae.